GAUGAACGCUGGCGGCGUGCCUAAUACAUGCAGGUCGAGCGAACAGACGAGGAGCUUGCUCCUCUGACGUUAGCGGCGGACGGGUGAGUAACACGUGGAUAACCUACCUAUAAGACUGGGAUAACUUCGGGAAACCGGAGCUAAUACCGGAUAAUAUAUUGAACCGCAUGGUUCAAUAGUGAAAGACGGUUUUGCUGUCACUUAUAGAUGGAUCCGCGCCGCAUUAGCUAGUUGGUAAGGUAACGGCUUACCAAGGCGACGAUGCGUAGCCGACCUGAGAGGGUGAUCGGCCACACUGGAACUGAGACACGGUCCAGACUCCUACGGGAGGCAGCAGUAGGGAAUCUUCCGCAAUGGGCGAAAGCCUGACGGAGCAACGCCGCGUGAGUGAUGAAGGUCUUCGGAUCGUAAAACUCUGUCAUUAGGGAAGAACAAAUGUGUAAGUAACUAUGCACGUCUUGACGGUACCUAAUCAGAAAGCCACGGCUAACUACGUG
This 497-nucleotide ribosomal RNA is filed under the name uncultured bacterium. Its description in RNAcentral is "partial 16S ribosomal RNA". It matches the Rfam family "Bacterial small subunit ribosomal RNA", at positions 28 to 507 of the family's 1533-position model. The record is from RNAcentral.